GUAAAUUUUACUCCAUGACCAAAUCAUAUGACAAAUCACAUGAUAAAUCAUGUAAUGUAAAGUCGACUUAACACUAGCUACCUAAUUGGUAAAAUCCACUGUACCAUCACCAUGCCAAUGCCCAUUAGUUGUCGAGGCAUUAGCUAAAUAAAAAAAAUUUCUAGUUAGUCAGCUGUUAUUUUUAUUAUAAAAAGUCAUAAAUUAUAUACAAAUAUAUUAAUAAAGUUUUAUAGUAUAUUUUAGUUUUUGAUAAGUAGAUUUUAGUAAGCUAAACUUACAGUAGAUUUUAUAAAUAAAAUGUGGCAACGCUGUGUUAGUGGCAGUUGGCAGUUUUGUUUUGUGCAUUUGAUAAACUUCACAAACUGAAAUGGCGGUUAAUAUGGAUUUUUCAAAAAAGAAAACAAGAUAUUGCAGCUGUUGUAUUGAUUCAUGUAAAAAUAUUGAAUAUAACAGUACUGGAUGCAGUUAUUAUAUUCGGAAACAUUGCGUACAUGUCCUGUAUCAACUAAAUCCUUUCCUUUUUUGGUGUUGCUGAUUGAAAUUGGAUAUCAUGGGAAAUAAGACUGAAUCCAGUAUAAUGUUUAAUAUCCAUUUUGAUAGAAUUCAAACAAAUUACAAUUCAUACAAAUUGCAAAUUUUAAUAAAGCAGUAAGCACACAAAAAUAAACAGAGGUAACCUUUAAAAUGUUAAAUAAUUCAUAUAAACUUAUUCUUUUUCUCAAUGGUCUCUUGCGUAAGCAGUCAUCCAGUCUCACGAACUUAUAUAUUAAAUAUUAUAAUUAUAAUGAAUAAAAUAAAAAAACAUAAUUAAUUUUACUAUUAAUUCUGUGUAUUCGUUUAGUAAUCAGGUAACAAUAAUAUUUCAGUUCAUAAUUUGUGUCUUUCUAGAUAAGUAUCUAUUUUUCUCGUUUUGUAUAUUUCACAUACAUAAAUUUUAUCAGAAAAGUAUAAGUUUCAAACCGCGAGAUAGCGCUACCGUCGAAACUCACAGCCAAUAGGUAAUAGGUAUUUAGUCCAUUCCGAAGUUGUAGUUUGUUUUGACAUUUCCGUUUUAUUUAACCUAACCUAUGUUUUGUGUUUUAUUGUGUUGUAUACAAGGAGUUGUAUAUUGAAAUUGAAUUGAUUCUUGUUUCAUUGAAUAUAGAGGAGUUGUUCUGUUGCAAGUUGUUCUAGUUUUGUUGUUUUAAAAUCUGCGAAAAACUAUUUAUAGAUAAUGGUGAACUUAAACAAGAAAUGGACAUGCAGUUUGCUGAUUACUUAAUUGUGUACUCACAACACAUAGGAUUUCUCUGACACAGUUUCCAGUACAGAACUGCCACAGGAAUCUCCAGUGGAGUUGCAACCGCUCUCACGGACGUCCACAAAUCAAGUUACAAAACUGUUACAUGACUCUAUUGGAGUUGCAACCGCAAUUGGAUAAAAGUGAAAUUCGAAUAAUGCCAGAAAGACUAUAACCGUCCAAAGUGAUAGUGUGAAAUUAAAAUCAAAUGAUUACGUAUAAAUCAUAUUUAUAAUAAUUAUAAAUAGUAGCUGUAUUUUUUAAAUAAACAGAUUUGAUAAGUUA
Diabrotica virgifera virgifera (western corn rootworm) is the source of this 1564-nucleotide long non-coding RNA. RefSeq lists it as uncharacterized. The record is from RefSeq and is a predicted model, not a curated record. The transcript has 2 exons. NCBI's taxonomy places the organism in Eukaryota, Metazoa, Arthropoda, Insecta, Coleoptera, Chrysomelidae.